UACGGGGGGAGCAAGCGUUGUUCGGAUUUACUGGGCGUAAAGGGCGCGUAGGCGGCACCGCAAGUCGACUGUGAAAUCUCCGGGCUUAACUCGGAAAGGUCAGCCGAUACUGCGGGGCUAGAGUGCAGAAGGGGCAACUGGAAUUCUUGGUGUAGCGGUGAAAUGCGUAGAUAUCAAGAGGAACACCUGCGGCGAAGGCGGGUUGCUGGGCCGACACUGACGCUGAUGCGCGAAAGCCAGGGGAGCGAACGGG
Molecule: ribosomal RNA, 253 nt
Filed under: uncultured bacterium
Lineage: Bacteria
Description: partial 16S ribosomal RNA
Rfam family: Bacterial small subunit ribosomal RNA
Source: RNAcentral